This 31-nucleotide ribosomal RNA is filed under the name Fusarium oxysporum. Its description in RNAcentral is "partial 18S ribosomal RNA". Lineage: Eukaryota; Fungi; Ascomycota; Sordariomycetes; Hypocreales; Nectriaceae. RNAcentral also lists the same sequence under 47 other names. The record is from RNAcentral.
UCCGUAGGUGAACCUGCGGAGGGAUCAUUAC